GCUUCUUUGGCUCAGUUGGUAGAGCGUUGGUCUCAUAGUUAUAAACUUUGACCGCUUCUGAGCGGGUAAUCCAAAGGUCGCAAGUUCGAGCCUUGCAAGGAGCA
Non-coding RNA from Hysterangium stoloniferum, 104 nucleotides. Lineage: Eukaryota; Fungi; Basidiomycota; Agaricomycetes; Hysterangiales; Hysterangiaceae. The record is from the annotation of a GenBank genome assembly.